CCUGGCUAGGACGAACGCUGGCGGCGUGCCUAAUACAUGCAAGUCGAACGGUCUUUCUAUGGAAGCUUGCUUCCGCUGAGAAGAUAGUGGCGAACGGGUGAGUAACACGUGGGUAACCUGCCCAUAAGAGGGGGAUAACAUCCGGAAACGGGUGCUAAUACCGCAUAGUUUUCUUGAUCGCAUGAUCGGGAAAGAAAAGACGGCCUUUGUGCUGUCGCUUAUGGAUGGACCCGCGGCGUAUUAGUUAGUUGGUGAGGUAACGGCUCACCAAGACGAUGAUACGUAGCCGACCUGAGAGGGUGAUCGGCCACAUUGGGACUGAGACACGGCCCAAACUCCUACGGGAGGCAGCAGUAGGGAAUCUUCCGCAAUGGACGAAAGUCUGACGGAGCAACGCCGCGUGAGUGAAGAAGGUUUUCGGGAAUCGUAAAACUCUGUUGUCAGAGAAGAACAAGUUGGAGAGUAACUGCUCCAGCCUUGACGGUAUCUGACCAGAAAGCCACGGCUAACUACGUGCCAGCAGCAGC
Molecule: ribosomal RNA, 527 nt
Filed under: uncultured bacterium
Lineage: Bacteria
Description: bacterial SSU rRNA
Rfam family: Bacterial small subunit ribosomal RNA
Source: RNAcentral